Molecule: ribosomal RNA, 661 nt
Filed under: Pseudonocardia sp. CAP 305
Lineage: Bacteria; Bacillati; Actinomycetota; Actinomycetes; Pseudonocardiales; Pseudonocardiaceae
Description: bacterial SSU rRNA
Rfam family: Bacterial small subunit ribosomal RNA
Source: RNAcentral
CUUGGAUGCAUUAACACGUGGAGUGACCUGCCCUCCACUCUGGGAUAAGCCCGGGAAACUGGGUCUAAUACCGGAUAUGACCUUCUCCUGCAUGGGGGUUGGUGGAAAGUUUUUCGGUGGGGGAUGGGCCCGCGGCCUAUCAGCUUGUUGGUGGGGUGAUGGCCUACCAAGGCGACGACGGGUAGCCGGCCUGAGAGGGCGACCGGCCACACUGGGACUGAGACACGGCCCAGACUCCUACGGGAGGCAGCAGUGGGGAAUAUUGCGCAAUGGGCGAAAGCCUGACGCAGCGACGCCGCGUGGGGGAUGACGGCCUUCGGGUUGUAAACCUCUUUCGCCAGGGACGAAGCGCAAGUGACGGUACCUGGAUAAGAAGCACCGGCCAACUACGUGCCAGCAGCCGCGGUAAUACGUAGGGUGCGAGCGUUGUCCGGAAUUAUUGGGCGUAAAGAGCUCGUAGGCGGUCUGUCGCGUCGGUCGUGAAAACUUGGGGCUUAACCCUGAGCUUGCGGUCGAUACGGGCAUGACUGGAGUUCGGCAGGGGAGACUGGAAUUCCUGGUGUACGGUGAAAUGCGCAGAUAUCAGGAGGAACACCGGUGGCGAAGGCGGGUCUCUGGGCCGAUACUGACGCUGAGAGCGAAAGCGUGGGGAGCAAACAGA